UUUCAACCGCUGCCCUCUAAACCUUGGGUGAAUAGAGACGGCGCUUGGUGAAAUC
RNAcentral lists this microRNA precursor (55 nucleotides) under Cordylochernes scorpioides. The record is from RNAcentral. Lineage: Eukaryota; Metazoa; Arthropoda; Arachnida; Pseudoscorpiones; Chernetidae.